UGUUAUUUUGGCAGAAUAGUGCAAUAGAUUUAGAAUCUGUUUAAGUAAGUUUAAUAUUCUACAUAUAACA
Molecule: transfer RNA, 70 nt
Filed under: Agrilus graminis
Lineage: Eukaryota; Metazoa; Arthropoda; Insecta; Coleoptera; Buprestidae
Description: tRNA-Leu
Rfam family: tRNA
About the family: Transfer RNA (tRNA) molecules are approximately 80 nucleotides in length. Their secondary structure includes four short double-helical elements and three loops (D, anti-codon, and T loops).
Source: RNAcentral